UACAUUUUUCAAGGAUUAUCUUGCUAGCACACUGUUCUCUCCACAUCUGACAUAAAGCAGGUUGCAACUUCCUCAAAGACUGGCCUGAAAUACCCAUCCCACGGUACUGUGGGUCAAGAGAAGGGAAGGGAAGAUUGUGUUGUAUAUUUUUAAAGGUAGAAAAAAAAUUUUUUCAAGUCAUAAAGUAUGGCAAAGGUCAUUUCCCUUCACUUGCAAGGAUCUCAGGCAGGUUCCCAGGCCAUCUGGAAACUAAACUGAAGCACAGAGAGGUGAAAUGAUUUCCCCAAGUUCCCACAGGACAGAGAGCAGCAUGCUAUCCUCACCCCAUCCCCAGAGUGCCUUCUACAUGCAGCUUCCUCUGCUUCCAUGAAUGCCAUCCACCUGCCAGUGCCCUGGGAGUGACCCACUGGAAAAUCCCACUCACCACUGAAAACAGGUGCAGUCCAUUCUGGCUGGUGCUUGUGUCCUUUACCAUUUUCUGAAUUUUCACCUGCCCGAGGCCUCCCCUCCUCUCCUGGCUCUUCAGAAUGUUGUCAGCUCUGCUAGACACCCCACCCCACUCCCUGUCUACUUAAACUGCUGCUAUAUAAUCCCUAAUUGAGAGGUCAAAUUUUCACAGAGUGAUUUGAGUUGCAGGUAGGAAGUAUUUUCCCAGCAGGUUGUGAACUGUGUAAGAUGAUAUAGAAUUGUGGGCUAUACUAUGGUAUAGAAGUCUGCUCCCGCCUUGUGAGAGUUCUAGUAUUCUCCUCACGUGUGGCUGAAUUCAGUUGUCUUUUUUAAGCUUUGGAUCUGCCCUUUGAAACCAGCUAUCUUUCUCAAAGACAAAGGCAUCGUAUCUCUAGAAGUUCCUGCUCUUGCGCCUUCUUCAGAGCAUGCACAUGGUGGAUAUUUAUUAGUUUGCUUCGCAUUUUUCCAACAGAAACUAGUGCAGAGGCAAUUUCUUAACUCUGCUCCUUCCAUUUUCUCUGCUGGUUCACUUUGGCCUGUCUCAGAGGCUGACCUGGAACGAUCCUGUCCAGAAGGACCUUGUAUGCUCUUCCAGCCACAGACUCUUAGGGCUGGGAGAGACUCUUAAUGCAGCUCCCCAACGUUAUGGAGGAGAUGGAGUUCAGAGAGGUCCUUUAACCAAUGUGCAGCAAAGAGUGUUAGGCUGGAACGGAGAUCUCUUCCCUCCUGGUCAGGGCUAUUUAUUCUAGGACAGUGGCUGUCAGGCUGUGUUCUCACAGGAAGCCGGUGCUCAGGCAGCUGGGCUGAGGUCCUCUCAUGCCAAACCAAAUAUCGGAGGUAGUUCACCAACCUUGCGGCCUCGCCCCUCUUCCGCCGCUCUCGGCCCGGGUCCGUGCUGCUCGGGCGCCGCCGCACUUCCUUGCUCGGGCGCGGGUCUCGCGGUUCUCGGGGCGCCCGAGCGCGGGGAAGCCGAG
This 1421-nucleotide long non-coding RNA is filed under the name Heterocephalus glaber (naked mole-rat). RNAcentral describes it as "lncRNA (ENSHGLG00100046489.1)". The record is from RNAcentral. Lineage: Eukaryota; Metazoa; Chordata; Mammalia; Rodentia; Bathyergidae.